Molecule: ribosomal RNA, 267 nt
Filed under: uncultured archaeon
Lineage: Archaea
Description: partial 16S ribosomal RNA
Rfam family: Archaeal small subunit ribosomal RNA
Source: RNAcentral
ACACGACUACAUUAGACUACCCUGUAGUCCUAGGCGUAAAUGAUGCGAGUUAAGUGGUGGGGGCAUCUACGAGAUGGCCCUGUGCUGUAGGGUAGCCGUUAAACUCGCUGCCGUGGGGAGUACGGUCGCAAGGCUAGAAACUUAAAGGAAUUGGCGGGGAGCACCACAAGAGGUGGAGGCUGCGGUUCAAUUGGACUCAACGCCGGAAAACUCAUCGGGAGCGACAGCAGUAUGAUUGCCAGGUUGAUGACCUUGCUUGACAAGCUG